This 737-nucleotide ribosomal RNA is filed under the name Salmonella enterica. RNAcentral's name for it is "partial 23S ribosomal RNA". It matches the Rfam family "Bacterial large subunit ribosomal RNA", at positions 711 to 1444 of the family's 2925-position model. The record is from RNAcentral. Lineage: Bacteria; Pseudomonadati; Pseudomonadota; Gammaproteobacteria; Enterobacterales; Enterobacteriaceae.
AGACCCGAAACCCGGUGAUCUAGCCAUGGGCAGGUUGAAGGUUGGGUAACACUAACUGGAGGACCGAACCGACUAAUGUUGAAAAAUUAGCGGAUGACCUGUGGCUGGGGGUGAAAGGCCAAUCAAACCGGGAGAUAGCUGGUUCUCCCCGAAAGCUAUUUAGGUAGCGCCUCGUGAAUUCAUCUCCGGGGGUAGAGCACUGUUUCGGCUAGGGGGCCAUCCCGGCUUACCAACCCGAUGCAAACUGCGAAUACCGGAGAAUGUUAUCACGGGAGACACACGGCGGGUGCUAACGUCCGUCGUGAAGAGGGAAACAACCCAGACCGCCAGCUAAGGUCCCAAAGUCAUGGUUAAGUGGGAAACGAUGUGGGAAGGCCCAGACAGCCAGGAUGUUGGCUUAGAAGCAGCCAUCAUUUAAAGAAAGCGUAAUAGCUCACUGGUCGAGUCGGCCUGCGCGGAAGAUGUAACGGGGCUAAACCAUGCACCGAAGCUGCGGCAGCGACACUCAGGUGUUGUUGGGUAGGGGAGCGUUCUGUAAGCCUGCGAAGGUGGCCUGUGAGGGUUGCUGGAGGUAUCAGAAGUGCGAAUGCUGACAUAAGUAACGAUAAAGCGGGUGAAAAGCCCGCUCGCCGGAAGACCAAGGGUUCCUGUCCAACGUUAAUCGGGGCAGGGUGAGUCGACCCCUAAGGCGAGGCCGAAAGGCGUAGUCGAUGGGAAACGGGUUAAUAUUCCCGUAC